GAUGAACGCUGGCGGCGUGCCUAAUACAUGCAAGUCGAGCGAACAGACGAGGAGCUUGCUCCUCUGACGUUAGCGGCGGACGGGUGAGUAACACGUGGAUAACCUACCUAUAAGACUGGGAUAACUUCGGGAAACCGGAGCUAAUACCGGAUAAUAUAUUGAACCGCAUGGUUCAAUAGUGAAAGACGGUUUUGCUGUCACUUAUAGAUGGAUCCGCGCCGCAUUAGCUAGUUGGUAAGGUAACGGCUUACCAAGGCAACGAUGCGUAGCCGACCUGAGAGGGGGGUCGGCCACACUGGAACUGAGACACGGUCCAGACUCCUACGGGAGGCAGCAGUAGGGAAUCUUCCGCAAUGGGGGAAAGCCUGACGGAGCAACGCCGCGUGAGUGAUGAAGGUCUUCGGAUCGUAAAACUCUGUUAUUAGGGAAGAACAAAUGUGUAAGUAACUAUGCACGUCUUGACGGUACCUAAUCAGAAAGCCACGGCUAACUACGUG
This 497-nucleotide ribosomal RNA is filed under the name uncultured bacterium. RNAcentral's name for it is "partial 16S ribosomal RNA". It matches the Rfam family "Bacterial small subunit ribosomal RNA", at positions 28 to 507 of the family's 1533-position model. The record is from RNAcentral.